Molecule: long non-coding RNA, 1253 nt
Organism: Gasterosteus aculeatus aculeatus (three-spined stickleback)
Lineage: Eukaryota; Metazoa; Chordata; Actinopteri; Perciformes; Gasterosteidae
Source: Ensembl
CACAGAGGCAGGGACCUUUAACAGAGACGUCCCCCUGCUUUUGAUGCAUCUCUCGCUCCUCCAGGAGGCAUUUGCAUUGUUGCAACGAGACCAGGCAAAUUUUCGGGAUGUAUUAUGGAAUCAGUUUCAGCUAAACGGUCAAAGUCGAGUUCAAGUCUCCCUUCGGUCCCAUUGAAAAUACUUUCCAUUCAUGGGAAGCUUCUCACCUUUUCACAGAUUUUUCUCCAAGUAGGCAUACGAGCAGCUUCAAGGGCCUCCGGUCACCAUGUGACUUUGUCUUCACUUCAAGCUUCUCUCGAUUGGCGUUUAAUGUGGAACCGCUCGGGUCGACGUGAGAGGCGUGCAUGCGAGCCCCGCAGGGAUGAAACGCGACUGGGAUUCAACUGAGGUGAAGUUAGGGUCAUUUAGGGCUGCAAUUAGCUCCAAGUACCCUCUUUUCUGACGUAUUCGGCCUGCUGCAAAAUCAUCGCUCUACGCAGCCCCAUCGUCCCUCGUCAGUUUAUUUGUGAAAAGUAAACCAUUCAUGCCAUCAACUUCCUUUCCCCAUUUUCCAACGACGUCUUUCUAUAGUUUGAGCUCGUGUUUUGGCAUCCGUGGCUUUACUUCUGGUUCAACUGUCUGCUUUUAACUCUUGAUCCCCCGGUAGGAACUAUUUCAAGGGGACGUUUUUUUGGUAACCAUGCCGAGGAGAGAGCGUCGGCCUCGCUGAGACUCGUACGACACUUCCUUCAACUCGGCAUGUGAAACCACUAUAAUUACUAGAUCAAAUUAAAAAGGUAGUCGUUUAGCUAAAACUAUUUUCAUCUCUUGUAUAUCAUAUCUAUAGUGAGGAUGAAUAUAAUGCCAAAUAUUCAUUAUUUGUAAAUAAAUAUAUAUAGAAAUAUAAAUAUAUAAUAUAUGCUUCAUUGAAACACGACUAUUUUCUGCAUUUGCUCAUGUUCUUGUUGUCAUUCUUUCUUGGUUAUUUUAUAAGCUGAUAUGAUGGCAUGCGAAAUACUGAUUCUGAAUGUAGACUUAGUUAUUCAUUUUGGAGAGUUAGAAAUUAUUCCACAGUCCCACUGAGAUGUUUAUUUAAGUCAAUGACAUUUGCAUUUCUCAUGUGUGUUAUUUUAGUGCAACUUCCGGUAUCAUUGGGUUCUUUUUUUGUAUUAUUUGCUUAGUUUGAAACCACAAUUGCAUUUUACCUUUUUCCAUGUUGAGCUAUUGAAAGACUUUUGCCUCUUUGAGUAGUUUGAGCAUUGCUGAGGUCAUCC